Molecule: transfer RNA, 76 nt
Filed under: Anaerovibrio lipolyticus
Lineage: Bacteria; Bacillati; Bacillota; Negativicutes; Selenomonadales; Selenomonadaceae
Also listed under: 3 other names
Description: tRNA-Asn
Rfam family: tRNA
About the family: Transfer RNA (tRNA) molecules are approximately 80 nucleotides in length. Their secondary structure includes four short double-helical elements and three loops (D, anti-codon, and T loops).
Source: RNAcentral
UCCUCGAUAGUUCAGCCGGUAGAACGACGGACUGUUAAUCCGUAUGUCGCAGGUUCGAGUCCUGCUCGAGGAGCCA